UACAUGCUUCCUCUGAGCUAGCUUAAAGUGGGGUUGUCAUUUUAGCAGGGACCUCAGGAAAACUGGAACAGUGAAGAAACGGUGUGUGGUUACAGACUUUUGUGUGAGGUUUUGAAAGUUAG
Molecule: long non-coding RNA, 122 nt
Organism: Mercenaria mercenaria
Lineage: Eukaryota; Metazoa; Mollusca; Bivalvia; Venerida; Veneridae
Exons: 2
Source: RefSeq, a predicted model, not a curated record